This 257-nucleotide ribosomal RNA is filed under the name uncultured bacterium. RNAcentral's name for it is "partial 16S ribosomal RNA". It matches the Rfam family "Bacterial small subunit ribosomal RNA", at positions 524 to 776 of the family's 1533-position model. The record is from RNAcentral.
UACGAAGGGGGCUAGCGUUGUUCGGAUUUACUGGGAGCGUAAAGCGCACGUAGGCGGAUAUUUAAGUCAGGGGUGAAAUCCCGGGGCUCAACCCCGGAACUGCCUUUGAUACUGGGUAUCUUUGAGUCCGGAAGAGGUGAGUGGAAUUCCGAGUGUAGAGGUGAAAUUCGUAGAUAUUACGGAGGAACACCAGUGGCGAAGGCGGCUCACUGGUCCGGUACUGACGCUGAGGUGCGAAAGCGUGGGGAGCAAACAGG